AAAAGAAAGCUUCCUGUGGGCAGAUUUCAGAGCAUACACCAACGCUAGUGAAGAAGUGGCCUGCGGAAAGGGUAUAUACGGAUUCCCGAGCAGUGGAAAGUGACUGGAUGAGAUGGUCAGUGCUUACGAGGAACAAGGACAAAGAGGAGGCAAGAAUGGCCUCAGAACGUCCGCACACCUUGGGGGAGCGGAUGGCGCCGAAAGAUCCGUGAUCGCAUGUUAAAACCUACUAGAGAUAACUAUCAUUUUUUCCUUUUUUCUAGAGACCCCCAUCUCAUACAACGUUUUCCAGAGUCAGGCAGACACUGAAUGGUGCUCAGCUUCCCUGAGUUGUCCACUGUUUUUGCCGCGGGGCAGUGAAGCCGUGGUGGCAAUGAUGGAAACUAAGCGUGGAUCCAAACCCACGUGCUCCUCUCACCAAGGCUGGCCUAGCUGCUGCCGCUACUGAAUUCCCUCCUUCUGGGAUCAGAGAGUGAUGCUGAGUCUUUGAUCCAGCCUCAACUGGGAAGGCCUGCAGGUCCACUGGCGCCAGUGCACUGGCACUUCCUCAGUCCACCGCGAAAUGUUAAAGAAUAACAGAUGUAACCCAGCAAAACUUUGACCAAUUCAGCAAGUUCACUAUGAACAAUGCCCAGUGGCUCUUUCUGGACACGGCACAGGAAGCUGCAAAUGGACGGGGAAGAGACUUCUGCUAUGAUUUCUGCUUUUAUUUUAGUUUAAACAUUCUUAGAGGAUAGCCCAGGUUAAGCCAGACAUCCUGUUUACAGUGGGGCAGUACUGCAGAGUGUGGGCGGGAAGGGGACAAUGCGCUCACGGCGGCUUCCUGCCCCGUCCGAAGGGGCCACACAAGCUUCGCCACCCCGGACUGCAGACUGAACGCCGCUGAAAAGGGGGUUUGAGUAGCUCUUCGGUACAUGGAUCUCCGUGUUUAUGGGGAUGAAUGUUAUUUUGUGUAAUAAAUGAUUAUGAAUUAUUUAUA
Molecule: long non-coding RNA, 979 nt
Organism: Mustela lutreola (European mink)
Lineage: Eukaryota; Metazoa; Chordata; Mammalia; Carnivora; Mustelidae
Exons: 3
Source: RefSeq, a predicted model, not a curated record